CCGGGGUGAGUCAGGGCUUACAGCUUUGGGUAGUUGGCCAAGCUUGAGCAAAGCCCCUGAGAAGGCCAGGGAGAAGGAACAGCAGCACAAAGGCCCUGGGGCAGGAUGUUCUGAGGGACAUCGAGGGAGAGUGGGAAAGCUUGCCGUGGGGAUCAGACGAGACCGUGAGAAAACUCCUGGAAGCUCUUUGCAUGCUCUGGGGAGAUGGUCACGUGGAGAUGCCGUGGUUUUUAUUCGUGCCUCAGUUUCCUCCUCUGUCAGCAGUGCUUUGUUACAGGUUAUUAUGAAGAGUAAAGGAAGUACUCGUGAAGUGCUUACACGUA
Chinchilla lanigera (long-tailed chinchilla) is the source of this 323-nucleotide long non-coding RNA. RefSeq lists it as uncharacterized. The transcript has 2 exons. The record is from RefSeq and is a predicted model, not a curated record. Lineage: Eukaryota; Metazoa; Chordata; Mammalia; Rodentia; Chinchillidae.